CAAGCGGAACUCAUAAAGUCUGUCGUAGUCCGGAUUGGAGUCUGCAACUCGACUCCAUGAAGUCGGAAUCGCUAGUAAUCGUGGAUCAGAAUGCCACGGUGAAUACGUUCCCGGGCCUUGUACACACCGCCCGUCACACCAUGGGAGUGGGUUGCAAAAGAAGUAGGUAGCUUAACCUUCGGGAGGGCGCUUACCACUUUGUGAUUCAUGACUGGGGUGAAGUCGUAACAAGGUAACCGUAGGGGAACCUGCGGUUGGAUCACCUCCUUACCUUAAAGAAGC
This 282-nucleotide ribosomal RNA is filed under the name Bacteroides ovatus. RNAcentral describes it as "partial 16S ribosomal RNA". It matches the Rfam family "Bacterial small subunit ribosomal RNA", at positions 1264 to 1533 of the family's 1533-position model. Lineage: Bacteria; Pseudomonadati; Bacteroidota; Bacteroidia; Bacteroidales; Bacteroidaceae. The record is from RNAcentral.